Telopea speciosissima is the source of this 82-nucleotide small nucleolar RNA. RefSeq annotates it as small nucleolar RNA R16. The transcript has a single exon. The record is from RefSeq and is a predicted model, not a curated record. NCBI's taxonomy places the organism in Eukaryota, Viridiplantae, Streptophyta, Magnoliopsida, Proteales, Proteaceae.
AUCGGCAGAUGAUGAAGAUAAUCUUAUCCUACACACUGAAACUUUGUGUGGACUACAACUCCGCUUAUUAUCUGAUGCCAUU